CCUACGGGUGGCAGCAGUGAGGAAUAUUGGUCAAUGGGCGUAAGCCUGAACCAGCCAAGUCGCGUGAGGGAUGAAGGUUCUAUGGAUCGUAAACCUCUUUUAUAAGGGAAUAAAGUGUGGGACGUGUCCUUUUUUGUAUGUACCUUAUGAAUAAGGAUCGGCUAACUCCGUGCCAGCAGCCGCGGUAAUACGGAGGAUCCGAGCGUUAUCCGGAUUUAUUGGGUUUAAAGGGUGCGUAGAGGGCCUUUUAAGUCAGCGGUGAAAGUCUGCGGCUCAACCAUAGAAUUGCCGUUGAUACUGGGAGUCUUGAGUAUGUUUGAGGCAAGCGGAAUGCGUGGUGUAGCGGUGAAAUGCUUAGAUAGCACGAAGAACCCCGAUUGCGAAGGCAGCCUACCAAGCCAUGACUGACGCUGAUGCACGAAAGCGUGGGGAUCAAACAGGAUUAGAUACCCCAGUAGUC
RNAcentral lists this ribosomal RNA (460 nucleotides) under uncultured bacterium. RNAcentral's name for it is "partial 16S ribosomal RNA". It matches the Rfam family "Bacterial small subunit ribosomal RNA", at positions 338 to 795 of the family's 1533-position model. The record is from RNAcentral.